Molecule: ribosomal RNA, 253 nt
Filed under: uncultured bacterium
Lineage: Bacteria
Description: partial 16S ribosomal RNA
Rfam family: Bacterial small subunit ribosomal RNA
Source: RNAcentral
UACGUAGGGUCCGAGCGUUGUCCGGAAUUACUGGGCGUAAAGAGCUCGUAGGUGGUUUGUCGCGUUGUUCGUGAAAACUCACAGCUCAACUGUGGGCGUGCGGGCGAUACGGGCAGACUGGAGUACUGCAGGGGAGACUGGAAUUCCUGGUGUAGCGGUGGAAUGCGCAGAUAUCAGGAGGAACACCGGUGGCGAAGGCGGGUCUCUGGGCUAUAACUGACGCUCAUGCACGAAAGCGUGGGGAGCAAACAGG